GACGAACGCUGGCGGCGUGCCUAAUACAUGCAAGUCGAACGCAGUGGGGACGGGUGAGUAACCCGUGGGUAACCUACCAUCAGAGGGGAUAACACUUGGAAACAGGUGCUAAACCGAUACUGAUGGAUGGACCCGCGGGGCAGUAGCUAGUGGGGGAGGUAACGGCUCACCAAGGCCACGCUGCAUAGCGGACCGUAGAGGUGGAUCGGCCACACGGGGACGGAGACACGUCCCAGAGUCGUACGGGAGGCAGCAGUAGGGAAUCUUCGGCAAUGGAAGAAAGUCUGACCGAGCAACGCCGCGUGAGUGAAGAAGUUUUUCGGAUCGUAAAACUCUGUUGUUAGAGAAGCGGUAUCUAACCAGAAAGCCACGGCUAACUACGUGCCAGCAGCCGCGGUAAUAC
This 403-nucleotide ribosomal RNA is filed under the name uncultured bacterium. RNAcentral's name for it is "partial 16S ribosomal RNA". It matches the Rfam family "Bacterial small subunit ribosomal RNA", at positions 28 to 526 of the family's 1533-position model. The record is from RNAcentral.